RNAcentral lists this ribosomal RNA (485 nucleotides) under uncultured bacterium. RNAcentral's name for it is "SSU rRNA". It matches the Rfam family "Bacterial small subunit ribosomal RNA", at positions 28 to 497 of the family's 1533-position model. The record is from RNAcentral.
AACGAACGCUGGCGGCGCGUUUUAAGCAUGCAAGUCGAGCGGCAAGGGGGUUCUUCGGGGCCCCCCUAGAGCGGCGGACGGGUGAGUAACACGUGGACAAUUUGCCCCCCGGUUCGGGAUAGCCCAGGGAAACCUGGAUCAAUACCGGAUGCGAGGGCGGCCGCAUAUGCGGCUGUUCGGAAAGGCGCUUCGGCGCCGCCGGGGGAUGAGUCCGCGUCCCAUUAGCUAGACGGCGGGGUAAGGGCCCACCGUGGCGAUGAUGGGUAGCCGGCCUGAGAGGGUGUACGGCCACAUUGGAACUGAGACACGGUCCAGACUCCUACGGGAGGCAGCAGCUAAGAAUCUUCCGCAAUGGGCGAAAGCCUGACGGAGCGACGCCGCGUGAACGAAGAAGGCCGUGAGGUUGUAAAGUUCUUUUCGGGAGGGGGAACGAGCCUGCCAGGCAAUGGGCGGGCGCUGACGUGAAUCCCGGAAUAAGCCCCGGC